RNAcentral lists this non-coding RNA (21 nucleotides) under Arabidopsis thaliana (thale cress). The record is from RNAcentral. Lineage: Eukaryota; Viridiplantae; Streptophyta; Magnoliopsida; Brassicales; Brassicaceae.
UACUCAGUGAUAUGAUUGAGA